RNAcentral lists this ribosomal RNA (497 nucleotides) under uncultured bacterium. Its description in RNAcentral is "partial 16S ribosomal RNA". It matches the Rfam family "Bacterial small subunit ribosomal RNA", at positions 28 to 507 of the family's 1533-position model. The record is from RNAcentral.
GAUGAACGCUGGCGGCGUGCCUAAUACAUGCAAGUCGAGCGAACAGACGAGGAGCUUGCUCCUCUGACGUUAGCGGCGGACGGGUGAGUAACACGUGGAUAACCUACCUAUAAGACUGGGAUAACUUCGGGAAACCGGAGCUAAUACCGGAUAAUAUAUUGAACCGCAUGGUUCAAUAGUGAAAGACGGUUUUGCUGUCACUUAUAGAUGGAUCCGCGCCGCAUUAGCUAGUUGGUAAGGUAACGGCUUACCAAGGCAACGAUGCGCAGCCGACCUGAGAGGGUGAUCGGACACACUGGAACUGAGACACGGUCCAGACUCCUACGGGAGGCAGCAGUAGGGAAUCUUCCGCAAUGGGCGAAAGCCUGACGGAGCAACGCCGCGUGAGUGAUGAAGGUCUUCGGAUCGUAAAACUCUGUUAUUAGGGAAGAACAAAUGUGUAAGUAACUAUGCACGUCUUGACGGUACCUAAUCAGAAAGCCACGGCUAACUACGUG